GCCGGGCGUAGUGGCGCAUGCCUGUAAUCCCAGCCACUUGCGAGGCUGAUGCAGGAGAAUUGCUUGAGCCCGGGAGGCUGAGGUUGCAGUGAGCAGAGAUCAUGCCGCUGCACUCCAGCCUGGGCAAAAGAGUAAGACUCUGUCUCGA
RNAcentral lists this small RNA (148 nucleotides) under Pongo abelii (Sumatran orangutan). Its description in RNAcentral is "Metazoan signal recognition particle RNA (ENSPPYG00000030731.1)". Lineage: Eukaryota; Metazoa; Chordata; Mammalia; Primates; Hominidae. The record is from Rfam by way of RNAcentral.